RNAcentral lists this transfer RNA (50 nucleotides) under Homalia lusitanica. Its description in RNAcentral is "partial tRNA-Leu". The record is from RNAcentral. Lineage: Eukaryota; Viridiplantae; Streptophyta; Bryopsida; Hypnales; Neckeraceae.
AAAUCCGUUGGCUUUAUUGACCGUGAGGGUUCAAGUCCCUCUACCCCCAA